ACUACUCGAAAGAGUGGCUAAUACCGCAUGAGACCUGAGGGUGAAAGCGGGGGAUCGCAAGACCUCGCGCGAUUGGAGCGGCCGAUAUCAGAUUAGCUAGUUGGCGGGGUAAAAGCCCACCAAGGCGACGAUCUGUAGCUGGUCUGAGAGGACGACCAGCCACACUGGGACUGAGACACGGCCCAGACUCCUACGGGAGGCAGCAGUGGGGAAUUUUGGACAAUGGACGAAAGUCUGAUCCAGCCAUGCCGCGUGCGGGAAGAAGGCCUUCGGGUUGUAAACCGCUUUUGUCAGGGAAGAAACGACGUCCUCUAAUACAGGGUGUUAAUGACGGUACCUGAAGAAUAAGCACCGGCUAACUACGUGCCAGCAGCCGCGGUAAUACGUAGGGUGCAAGCGUUAAUCGGAAUUACUGGGCGUAAAGCGUGCGCAGGCGGUUAUGCAAGACAGAUGUGAAAUCCUCGGGCUCAACCUGGGAACUGCAUUUGUGACUGCAUGGCUAGAGUACGGUAGAGGGGGAUGGAAUUCCGCGUGUAGCAGUGAAAUGCGUAGAUAUGCGGAGGAACACCGAUGGCGAAGGCAAUCCCCUGGACCUGUACUGACGCUCAUGCACGAAAGCGUGGGGAGCAAACAGGAUUAGAUACCCUGGUAGUCCACGCCCUAAACGAUGUCAACUGGUUGUUGGGAGGGUUUCUUCUCAGUAACGUAGCUAACGCGUGAAGUUGACCGCCUGGGGAGUACGGCCGCAAGGUUGAAACUCAAGGGAAUUGACGGGGACCCGCACAAGCGGUGGAUGAUGUGGUUUAAUUCGAUGCAACGCGAAAAACCUUACCUACCCUUGACAUGUCUGGAAUCCUGAAGAGAUUUGGGAGUGCUCGAAAGAGAGCCAGAACACAGGUGCUGCAUGGCCGUCGUCAGCUCGUGUCGUGAGAUGUUGGGUUAAGUCCCGCAACGAGCGCAACCCUUGUCAUUAGUUGCUACGAAAGGGCACUCUAAUGAGACUGCCGGUGACAAACCGGAGGAAGGUGGGGAUGACGUCAGGUCAUCAUGGCCCUUAUGGGUAGGGCUACACACGUCAUACAAUGGCCGGUACAGAGGGCUGCCAACCCGCGAGGGGGAGCCAAUCCCAGAAAACCGGUCGUAGUCCGGAUCGUAGUCUGCAACUCGACUGCGUGAAGUCGGAAUCGCUAGUAAUCGCGGAUCAGCUUGCCGCGGUGAAUACGUUCCCGGGUCUUGUACACACCGCCCGUCACACCAUGGGAGCGGGUUCUGCCAGAAGUAGUUAGCCUAACCGCAAGGGGGGCGAUUACCACGGCAGGGUUCGUGACUGGGGUGAAGUCGAAACAAGGUAGCCGUAUCGGAAGGUGCGGCUG
RNAcentral lists this ribosomal RNA (1373 nucleotides) under metagenome. RNAcentral describes it as "bacterial SSU rRNA". It matches the Rfam family "Bacterial small subunit ribosomal RNA", at positions 146 to 1520 of the family's 1533-position model. The record is from RNAcentral.